AGAGUUUGAUCCUGGCUCAGAACGAACGUUGGCGGCGUGGAUUAGGCAUGCAAGUCGAACGAAUCCCGGUUGGGGGUAACCCCGGCCGGGGGAAGUGGCGAAAGGGGCAGUAAGGCGUGGGUAACCUACCCCGAGGAUCGGGAUAGCCCUUCUAACGGGGGGGUAAUACCGGGCGUGGUGCGGUAUCCGCAUGGAUGCCGCAUGAGAUGAAUUUCGCCUCGGGAGGGGCUCACGUGGUAUUAGCUUGUUGGUGGGGUAACGGCCCACCAAGGCGAAGAUGCCUAGCAGGUGUGCGAGCACGACCUGCGCCACUGGCACUGAGACACUGGCCAGACUCCUACGGGAGGCUGCAGUCGAGGAUCUUCGGCAAUGGGCGCAAGCCUGACCGAGCGACGCCGCGUGCGCGAUGAAGGCCUUCGGGUUGUAAAGCGCUGUCGAGGGGGAGGAAAGCCGCAAGGUCUGACCUAUCCCUGGAGGAAGCACGGGCUAAGUUCGUGCCAGCAGCCGCGGUAAGACGAACCGUGCGAACGUUGUUCGGAAUCACUGGGCUUAAAGGGCGCGUAGGCGGCUUGCUCAGUCCGAGGUGAAAGCUUUCGGCUCAACCGGAAAAGUGCCUUGGAGACGGGCAAGCUCGAGGGAGGUAGGGGCAGGUGGAACUUCCGGUGGAGCGGUGAAAUGCGUUGAUAUCGGAAGAAACGCCGGUGGCGAAAGCGACCUGCUGGACCUUCUCUGACGCUGANGCGCGAAAGCCAGGGGAGCGAACGGGAUUAGAUACCCCGGUAGUCCUGGCCCUAAACGAUGGGUACU
This 807-nucleotide ribosomal RNA is filed under the name uncultured bacterium. Its description in RNAcentral is "bacterial SSU rRNA". It matches the Rfam family "Bacterial small subunit ribosomal RNA", at positions 8 to 817 of the family's 1533-position model. The record is from RNAcentral.